GACGGGCUGGAGUGGGCCGGAGGGAAGAAGCCAGCAUUCACUCCACUUUGCAACAAGUUCCUCUUUUCUGCCGUUUUUUCCACCCCUUUUCAAUAGAGACUAGGGCUGAGGCUUUAGCUUUUUUGUUUUUUUAAGCAAAUCACAAAAUGGAAACUCCCUAAGCUCCUUUUCUAUUUUAUCAAAAAACCAUUCUGUGUAAAUGUAAAUUCUAGCCCUUACCUGGCUCUGAUGAGAGCGUAAAAAAAAAAAACAAGCAAAACGGCAACUUGGCAUUUGGGGUUUGGGUUUGGGGUUUUUUGUAAGUGUUUUGAGAAAAGAGCCUGUUUUCUGGUUCACCUCGAGGCGAGGGCUCUGGGCGGUGGAGCCGCGCUGCUGCGGAGGCCUGGCUUGCCCACGUCCACACAGCAGGCCUCCCAGCCCAGCACCCUGGAGAUGCGCGCAACCGCGGCCGUGGGGAUGCGCGAGUCCUCAUAACCCCAGGGCUCUCCACAUGCACAGAGCGGUUCUUCAUUCUGUAGUGUUCAGGGAACAUUCUAGUCCUCUGGCACGUUAGGGAAUGAGCAUUACCGUUCUUGUUGUGUUGGUCACGAGAAUCUGAGCAGGGAUUUUUGCAAAUGGGGUUGAAUAUUAAAAUGUGUCACCAAUGUAAUGAGCACUGAUUGACACAGAGGCUGUAUACCAAUAAGCGCGUGCAAGAAAGUAUUUCCUCCUCAAGCCUGUUCCUCGGGGCCCCUUGCAAAGACCGCUCCAGCUCUGCUGGGAAAGACACUGUGCCGUGAUCUUGGACCCAACUCCAGGCAGCCCAGGACUCCAGCGCUCAAGAAGAAUCAGAAGAGAGUCCGAGAAAGAGCAUUCCCUGUCUCAAUGCUCAAAGCACACCUCACAUAUUGGAGGAUGGCAGAAACACACAAGCUGUGUUAUCAAUAAAGGAGCUGACCAACACAGGCAAGUAUGAGUUUGAAAUUCUUGCUCUGGGCCAUAUGGAGUGGAUAUUCCAGAAGGAAAUUAUAUACUGCUCUCUGUUUCUACUCAACUGCUUUUCACUUUGUCAAGUGGACCCUUUGAAGCAGCCUUCUCCUUACCUCACAUUCUGACAUGAAUAAUUGUUUAAUUGCCUUUCAGUCUACACAAGAUAAGGAACCAUGUCUCAAAAUUGUAUAAUUCUCUUAACUAAACAAUAGCGGAACCACCCAGAGCAGUUUUCAAAGAAAGAAAAGAAUUUCUUACAUAUGUUAAGCAUUUUAUUAUUUUCAAAGUGCUUCGCUCUGUAGUAUUUUCUUAAAUUGGAUAAUGCAUACAAAGCACUGUGUAAAUUGUAUCAUAUAACAAAGGAAUGAGAUUUAUAAUGAUUA
This is an RNA transcript of Canis lupus familiaris (dog), 1352 nucleotides long. RefSeq lists it as uncharacterized. The transcript is spliced from 4 exons. The record is from RefSeq and is a predicted model, not a curated record. Lineage: Eukaryota; Metazoa; Chordata; Mammalia; Carnivora; Canidae.